This 1746-nucleotide ribosomal RNA is filed under the name Parascedosporium putredinis. RNAcentral's name for it is "SSU rRNA". It matches the Rfam family "Eukaryotic small subunit ribosomal RNA". The record is from RNAcentral. Lineage: Eukaryota; Fungi; Ascomycota; Sordariomycetes; Microascales; Microascaceae.
UCAUAUGCUUGUCUCAAAGAUUAAGCCAUGCAUGUCUAAGUAUAAGCAAUUAUACCGCGAAACUGCGAAUGGCUCAUUAUAUAAGUUAUCGUUUAUUUGAUAGCACAUUACUACAUGGAUAACUGUGGUAAUUCUAGAGCUAAUACAUGCUAAAAAUCCCGACUUCGGAAGGGAUGUAUUUAUUAGAUUAAAAGCCAACGCCCUUCGGGGCUUCGUGGUGAUUCAUGAUAACUUUUCGAAUCGCAUGGCCUUGCGCCGGCGAUGGUUCAUUCAAAUUUCUUCCCUAUCAACUUUCGAUGCGAAGGUCUUGUCUUCGCAUGGUUGCAACGGGUAACGGAGGGUUAGGGCUCGACCCCGGAGAAGGAGCCUGAGAAACGGCUACUACAUCCAAGGAAGGCAGCAGGCGCGCAAAUUACCCAAUCCCGACACGGGGAGGUAGUGACAAUAAAUACUGAUACAGGGCUCUUUUGGGUCUUGUAAUCGGAAUGAGUACAAUUUAAAUCCCUUAACGAGGAACAAUUGGAGGGCAAGUCUGGUGCCAGCAGCCGCGGUAAUUCCAGCUCCAAUAGCGUAUAUUAAAGUUGUUGUGGUUAAAAAGCUCGUAGUUGAACCUUGGGGCUGGCUGGCCGGUCCCCCUCACCGGGUGCACUGAUCCAGCCGGGCCUUUCCCUCUGUGGAACCCCAUGGCCUUCACUGGCCGUGGCGGGGAAACAGGACUUUUACUUUGAAAAAAUUAGAGUGCUCCAGGCAGGCCUAUGCUCGAAUACAUUAGCAUGGAAUAAUAGAAUAGGACGUGUGGUUCUAUUUUGUUGGUUUCUAGGACCGCCGUAAUGAUUAAUAGGGACAGUCGGGGGCAUCAGUAUUCAAUUGUCAGAGGUGAAAUUCUUGGAUCUAUUGAAGACUAACUACUGCGAAAGAUUUGCCAAGGAUGUUUUCAUUGAUAAGGAACGAAAGUUAGGGGAUCGAAGACGAUCAGAUACCGUCGUAGUCUUAACUAUAAACUAUGCCGACUAGGGAUCGGACGAUGUUAUUUCUUGACGCGUUCGGCACCUUUCGAGAAAUCAAAGUGCUUGGGCCCCAGGGGAGUAUGGUCGCAAGGCUGAAACUUAAAGAAAUUGACGGAAGGGCACCACCAGGGGUGGAACUGCGGCUUAAUUUGACUCAACACGGGGAAACUCACCAGGUCCAGACACAGUGAGGAUUGACAGAUUGAGAGCUCUUUCUUGAUUCUGUGGGUGGUGGUGCAUGGCCGUUCUUAGUUGGUGGAGUGAUUUGUCUGCUUAAUUGCGAUAACGAACGAGACCUUAACCUGCUAAAUAGCCCGUACUGCUUUGGCAGUUCGCCGGCNUCUUAGAGGGACUAUCGGCUCAAGCCGAUGGAAGUUUGAGGCAAUAACAGGUCUGUGAUGCCCUUAGAUGUCCUGGGCCGCACGCGCGUUACACUGACAGAGCCAGCGAGUAUUUCCUUGGCCGGAAGGCCCGGGUAAUCUUGUUAAACUCUGCCGUGCUGGGGAUAGAGCAUUGCAAUUAUUGCUCUUCAACGAGGAAUCCCUAGUAAGCGCAAGUCAUCAGCUUGCGUUGAUUACGUCCCUGCCCUUUGUACACACCGCCCGUCGCCUCUACCGAUUGAAUGGCUCAGUGAGGCCUCCGGACUGGCCCAGAGAGGUGGGCAACUACCACUCAGGNNNGGAAAGUUGUCCAAACUCGGUCAUUUAGAGGAAGUAAAAGUCGUAACAAGGUCUCCGUU